Molecule: ribosomal RNA, 466 nt
Filed under: uncultured bacterium
Lineage: Bacteria
Description: partial 16S ribosomal RNA
Rfam family: Bacterial small subunit ribosomal RNA
Source: RNAcentral
CCUACGGGGGGCUGCAGUGGGGAAUCUUCCGCAAUGGGCGCAAGCCUGACGGAGCAAUGCCGCGUGAACGAAGAAGGUCUUCGGAUUGUAAAGUUCUGUCCUUAUCGAAGAGAGAGUAUAGAGUGAAAAAUGAUAUACUAGGACGGUAGAUGAGGAGGAAGCCCCGGCUAACUACGUGCCAGCAGCCGCGGUAAUACGUAGGUGGCAAGCGUUGUCCGGAUUUACUGGGUGUAAAGGGCGUGCAGCCGGGAAGACAAGUCAGAUGUGAAAUCCCGCGGCUCAACCGCGGAACUGCAUUUGAAACUGUUGUUCUUGAGUACCGGAGAGGUCAUCGGAAUUCCUUGUGUAGCGGUGAAAUGCGUAGAUAUAAGGAAGAACACCAGUGGCGAAGGCGGAUGACUGGACGGCAACUGACGGUGAGGCGCGAAAGCGUGGGGAGCAAACAGGAUUAGAUACCCCUGUAGUC